Molecule: ribosomal RNA, 253 nt
Filed under: uncultured bacterium
Lineage: Bacteria
Description: partial 16S ribosomal RNA
Rfam family: Bacterial small subunit ribosomal RNA
Source: RNAcentral
GACGGAGGGUGCUAGCGUUGUUCGGAAUGACUGGGCGUAAAGGGCGCGUAGGCGGCCAUGCGUGUCUUCCGUGAAAUCCCUCGGCUUAACUGAGGACGUGCGGAAGAAACUGCAAGGCUCGAGUCCGGGAGAGGGGGGUGGAAUUCCCAGUGUAGCGGUGAAAUGCGUAGAUAUUGGGAGGAACACCGGUGGCGAAGGCGGCCCCCUGGACCGGUACUGACGCUGAGGCGCGAAAGCGUGGGUAGCAAACGGG